UACGGAGGGUCCAAGCGUUAUCCGGAUUCAUUGGGUUUAAAGGGUCCGUAGGCGGGCUUUUAAGUCAGAGGUGAAAGCCUACAGCUUAACUGUAGAACUGCCUUUGAUACUGGAAGCCUUGAGUAUAGUUGAAGUGGGCGGAAUACGUCAUGUAGCGGUGAAAUGCAUAGAUAUGACGUAGAACACCGAUUGCGAAGGCAGCUCACUAAGCUAUAACUGACGCUGAGGGACGAAAGCGUGGGGAGCGAACAGG
RNAcentral lists this ribosomal RNA (253 nucleotides) under uncultured bacterium. RNAcentral's name for it is "partial 16S ribosomal RNA". It matches the Rfam family "Bacterial small subunit ribosomal RNA", at positions 524 to 776 of the family's 1533-position model. The record is from RNAcentral.